RNAcentral lists this transfer RNA (67 nucleotides) under Anabropsis multispinula. Its description in RNAcentral is "tRNA-Asn". RNAcentral also lists the same sequence under 1 other name. The record is from RNAcentral. Lineage: Eukaryota; Metazoa; Arthropoda; Insecta; Orthoptera; Anostostomatidae.
UUAAUUGAAACCAAAAAAAGAGGUAUAUUACUGUUAAUAAUAUCAUUGAAAAUUAUUUCCAAUUAAA